RNAcentral lists this long non-coding RNA (606 nucleotides) under Setaria viridis. RNAcentral describes it as "long non-coding RNA (SVIR_LNC002350)". Lineage: Eukaryota; Viridiplantae; Streptophyta; Magnoliopsida; Poales; Poaceae. The record is from RNAcentral.
UGCAUAGUAAAAUCUAUAAAUUAAAAAACCUAAAAUGAUCUAUAAUUUAAAAUGGAUGGAGUAAUUGAUAAUUGUUGUUGCAGCAAUUAGGUUGCUUAUAUUAUCCUAGAGCGCACUUGGUCGGAAGAUGAAGUACCCAAUGUCGAUGCCAGUUAAUUUCCUUGCUUUUCCUGUGAAGUAUCCAAACUCUUUAUCAGAGUAUCUUACUAUUAAUAAUUGGAGGCUCCUUUUGAAGCCUCCAGGUGAAGGUGGACACUCUAAAAAAAAGAAAGAAAUCCUAGAAAUUCUUACAAAAAAGCAAAACAUCCGACCAUCGAUUGAUAGAUUCAAAUCAUCAUAGCCAUUGGAUCUAUUAUGUUUUCUAAAAAAUUACCCACCUAUGCCAUUAUGAAAAUAGCCUAAAGUAACCCCCUAAAUCUAUAUAUAAAUUACCCACCUAUGCCAUUAUAUAAAAUAAACUAAAGCAACCCCUAAUCUUCAUCAAAAUUACCUACUUAUGCCAUUAUAAAUAAUAUUUAAAAUAAUCACCUAAUUUGCAACUGAAUUGCCCACCACUAUUACUUAGAAAACUUAAAGUAACUCCUUAAAUUUGCAUCUAUAUUACCC